This 442-nucleotide ribosomal RNA is filed under the name uncultured bacterium. RNAcentral describes it as "partial 16S ribosomal RNA". It matches the Rfam family "Bacterial small subunit ribosomal RNA", at positions 338 to 795 of the family's 1533-position model. The record is from RNAcentral.
CCUACGGGAGGCAGCAGUAGGGAAUCUUUCACAAUGGGCGAAAGCCUGAUGGAGCAACGCCGCGUGCAGGAUGAAGGCCUUCGGGUUGUAAACUGCUUUUAUAAGCGAGAAAUAUGAUGGUAACUUAUGAAUAAGGAUCGGCUAACUACGUGCCAGCCGCCGCGGUCAUACGUAGGAUCCGAGCAUUAUCCGGAGUGACUGGGUGUAAAGAGUUGCGUAGGUGGCAUAAUAAGUAGCUAGUGAAAUCUGGUGGCUCAACAAUUCAGACUAUUAGCUAAACUGUUAAGCUCGAGACCGUUAGGGGUAACUGGAAUUUCUAGUGUAGGAGUGAAAUCCGUAGAUAUUAGAAGGAACACCAAUAGCGUAGGCAGGUUGCUGGGACGGUUCUGACACUAAGGCACGAAAGCGUAGGGAGCAAACGGGAUUAGAUACCCCUGUAGUC